This 382-nucleotide ribosomal RNA is filed under the name uncultured archaeon. RNAcentral's name for it is "bacterial SSU rRNA". It matches the Rfam family "Archaeal small subunit ribosomal RNA", at positions 471 to 851 of the family's 1478-position model. The record is from RNAcentral.
UAAAACCAAACUCCCCCGAGUGGUCGGGAUGAUUAUUGGGCUUAAAGCGUCCGUAGCCGGUCCGGUAAGUUCUCCGCUAAAUCUGACGUCCGAAGCGUCAGGCCGCGGGGAAUACUGCGGGACUUGGGAGUGGGAGAGGCCGACGGUACUCCCUGGGGAGGGGUAAAAUCCUUAGAGCCAGGGAAGACCAUCAGUGGCGAAGGCGGUCGGCUAGAACACGUCCGACGGUGAGGGACGAAAGCUGGGGGAGCGAUCCGGAUUAGAUACCCGGGUAGUCCCAGCCGUAAACGAUGCAGGCUAGGUGUGUGGUUCGCUACGAGCGGGCCGUGUGCCGUAGGGAAACCGUUAAGCCUGCCGCCUGGGAAGUACGGUCGCAAGGCUG